RNAcentral lists this ribosomal RNA (404 nucleotides) under Actinomycetes bacterium. RNAcentral describes it as "Actinobacteria bacterium partial 16S ribosomal RNA". It matches the Rfam family "Bacterial small subunit ribosomal RNA", at positions 355 to 776 of the family's 1533-position model. Lineage: Bacteria; Bacillati; Actinomycetota; Actinomycetes. The record is from RNAcentral.
UGGGGAAUAUUGGACAAUGGGCGCAAGCCUGAUCCAGCCAUGCCGCGUGAGUGGUGAAGGCCUUAGGGUUGUAAAGCUCUUUUGUCCGGGAAGAUAAUGACUGUACCGGAGGAAUAAGCCCCGGCUAACUUCGUGCCAGCAGCCGCGGUAAUACGAAGGGGGCUAGCGUUGCUCGGAAUCACUGGGCGUAAAGGGCGCGUAGGCGGACUCUUAAGUCGGGGGUGAAAGCCCAGGGCUCAACCCUGGAAUUGCCUUCGAUACUGAGAGUCUUGAGUUCGGAAGAGGUUGGUGGAACUGCGAGUGUAGAGGUGAAAUUCGUAGAUAUUCGCAAGAACACCAGUGGCGAAGGCGGCCAACUGGUCCGAUACUGACGCUGAGGCGCGAAAGCGUGGGGAGCAAACAGG